Long non-coding RNA from Salvia splendens (bonfire salvia), 685 nucleotides. RefSeq lists it as uncharacterized. The transcript has 3 exons. The record is from RefSeq and is a predicted model, not a curated record. NCBI's taxonomy places the organism in Eukaryota, Viridiplantae, Streptophyta, Magnoliopsida, Lamiales, Lamiaceae.
AUUGAAUUCCUACAACCAACAUAAAUCCAUUCCUUUAAACCCUUCUACACGUUUCCAUUAAUAUCUCUACCCACAAAAAUCUCUCCAACAAACAAAUCUAAUCUCUGCAUUAUAUAUCUCUCCCCACAAUUGCAUCUUUUAUCAGCCGUUUCAUAAUUUCUAGUAUAGUUUUCUUCCCUUCCAACAAAGGUAUAAUCUUCCACUUCAAUUCAGUGUAUACAACUCUCUGGAUAUUAAAUCCAUAGCACCAUAUUCUUUCUUGUCACAAUUGAGAGGAAAACAAUUGAGCAGCCUGUGAAAUAACCAUCCCUCUGCAAUCUCAAAUUGUUCUCUUCAUUCCAAAGGGUGAGCUUGUGCACGUUGUUUACGGUGGGAACAGAAAGUGAUUGAGGAGUAAGCUUUUGAGAUUGAGCGGCGAUGGACGUGGAGGAUGUUGAGCAGAGAUCAUGGAUUGUUUUGUCAUGAUUAUUAAUUGUUGGAUUUGUCGUGUCUUCAUACUCGACAUUUUCCAUGUCUUGAACGCUUCCGCUAAGAGUCCUUUUCUUUAGAAUUGUUUAUUCGUGGAGAGUCUUACUCGUUUGAAAAUUGUUUAUUGUCCAUUCUUUAUUUACUUAGAGUGGGUAUUACUGUUAGGAUAAUAUUAUGACGUUUUCAAAGUUAAUCUAGUUAUUAAAUCUUUGGUCAA